AACGCGAAGAACCUUACCCAGGCUCGAAGUGUAGAGCGCGCUAACAGAGAUGUUAGUUCCCGUAAGGGGUUCUAUAUAGGUGCUGCAUGGCUGUCGUCAGCUCGUGCCGUGAGGUGUUUGGUUAAGUCCAGCAACGAGCGCAACCCUUAUUGUCAGUUGCCAACGCGUUAAGGCGGGGACUCUGGCAAGACUGCCUAGGUUAACUAGGAGGAAGGCGAGGAUGACGUCAAGUCCGCAUGGCCCUUAUGUCUGGGGCUACACACGUGCUACAAUGGUCGGUACAGAAGGCAGCGAAGCCGCGAGGUGGAGCUAAUCCAGAAAGCCGAUCUCAGUUCGGAUUGCAGUCUGCAACUCGGCUGCAUGAAGUUGGAAUUGCUAGUAAUGGCGUGUCAGCAACAGCGCCGUGAAUACGUUCCCGGGCCUUGUACACACCGAGUAUA
This 440-nucleotide ribosomal RNA is filed under the name uncultured bacterium. Its description in RNAcentral is "bacterial SSU rRNA". It matches the Rfam family "Bacterial small subunit ribosomal RNA", at positions 958 to 1398 of the family's 1533-position model. The record is from RNAcentral.